AAUCGCUCAGAUAAGCUCAUGGUC
Molecule: non-coding RNA, 24 nt
Filed under: Arabidopsis thaliana (thale cress)
Lineage: Eukaryota; Viridiplantae; Streptophyta; Magnoliopsida; Brassicales; Brassicaceae
Source: RNAcentral